RNAcentral lists this ribosomal RNA (223 nucleotides) under uncultured bacterium. RNAcentral's name for it is "partial 16S ribosomal RNA". It matches the Rfam family "Bacterial small subunit ribosomal RNA", at positions 110 to 334 of the family's 1533-position model. The record is from RNAcentral.
GAGACACGUAUCCAACCUGCCCUUUACUCGGGGAUAGCCUUUCGAAAGAAAGAUUAAUACCCGAUAGCAUAAUGAUUCCGCAUGGUUUCAUUAUUAAAGGAUUCCGGUAAAGGAUGGGGAUGCGUUCCAUUAGGUUGUUGGUGAGGUAACGGCUCACCAAGCCUUCGAUGGAUAGGGGUUCUGAGAGGAAGGUCCCCCACAUUGGAACUGAGACACGGUCCAA